RNAcentral lists this ribosomal RNA (393 nucleotides) under uncultured bacterium. Its description in RNAcentral is "partial 16S ribosomal RNA". It matches the Rfam family "Bacterial small subunit ribosomal RNA", at positions 523 to 918 of the family's 1533-position model. The record is from RNAcentral.
CUACGGAGGAUCCGAGCGUUAUCCGGAUUUAUUGGGUUUAAAGGGUGCGCAGGCGGGAGAUUAAGUCGGCGGUGAAAUUUUGCAGCUCAACUGUAAAAGUGCCUUCGGAAAUGGUUUUCUUGAGUGUGGGUGAAGUAGGCGGAAUUUGUGGUGUAGCGGUGAAAUGCAUAGAUAUCACGAGGAACUCCGAUUGCGCAGGCAGCUUACUAAACCAUAACUGACGCUCAGGCACGAAGGCGUGGGGAUCAAACAGGAUUAGAUACCCUGGUAGUCCACGCAGUAAACGAUGAUUACUAGCUGUUUGCGAUACAAUGUAAGCGGCUGAGCGAAAGCGUUAAGUAAUCCGCCUGGGGAGUACGUUCGCAAGAAUGAAACUCAAAGGAAUUGACGGGG